Molecule: transfer RNA, 72 nt
Filed under: Camelus bactrianus (Bactrian camel)
Lineage: Eukaryota; Metazoa; Chordata; Mammalia; Artiodactyla; Camelidae
Also listed under: 2 other names
Rfam family: tRNA
About the family: Transfer RNA (tRNA) molecules are approximately 80 nucleotides in length. Their secondary structure includes four short double-helical elements and three loops (D, anti-codon, and T loops). Further hydrogen bonds mediate the characteristic L-shaped molecular structure. tRNAs have two regions of fundamental functional importance: the anti-codon, which is responsible for specific mRNA codon recognition, and the 3' end, to which the tRNAs corresponding amino acid is attached (by aminoacyl-tRNA synthetases). tRNAs cope with the degeneracy of the genetic code in two manners: having more than one tRNA (with a specific anti-codon) for a particular amino acid; and 'wobble' base-pairing, i.e. permitting non-standard base-pairing at the 3rd anti-codon position.
Source: Rfam by way of RNAcentral
GAGGGUGUAGCUCAGUAGUAGAGUUUGGGCUUGGGAUGUGCAAGGUCCUGGGUUCAAUCCCCAGUACCUCCA